Eurytemora carolleeae is the source of this 723-nucleotide long non-coding RNA. RefSeq lists it as uncharacterized. Lineage: Eukaryota; Metazoa; Arthropoda; Copepoda; Calanoida; Temoridae. The record is from RefSeq and is a predicted model, not a curated record. The transcript is spliced from 2 exons.
UGAUAUGUUUUUUUUUUAAAUUAUGCAGUAAAAUCCUAACACAAAAACACUUUCUUUACUUUAUUGUUAUAAUUGUAUACUAUAAAUACAGUACGGCGCAUUUAUUGAAGGUAAACCCCGUUAGUGAUUAUUGAAAGGGAUAAAAAUAAACCAUGGUAAGAAAAUACAGGGUGUCUCAAUAAACAUUGGACUUAAGUGACAACUUCUAUGUCGUCUUUGUUUCACGCGGGAUUAUUUCGUAAGCUCGAUUAUAGUUCUAUCCUAGAUUUUCUUAAUGUGGUUACCAUUUUUACAGGAAUUAGUCCAGAUUCCAAUUUAUUGAAAAUUAAAAAUAAGUGAUACUUGGUCGAUGGGUGUACACUUUUAGCCCCCCCUGGUACAGUAAAAUCUAUGCCGAGUCCCCCUGGACAAAUUCCUGAAUACGCCCCUGGCUAUGGAGCAGCAAGAUACAUUGAGAUAAAAUAACGGUUCAACCCCUUUAGAUAAUCAUGAAUAUAAUAGUAUUUAUAUAUCUAUUAUUUUUCACAUAAAGUUGUACAAUUGCCAUAUUUGCCUUGUUAAUUACAAUGCCUUAUAGAUAACCAAUUGUUUAGUGGCUUAGUUAAAAUUUAUUAUUGUUAAAAUGUAUUGUACGAAAAAAGUUAAUUGAUAUAUUUUAGUUUUUUUCUCGAUAAUAAUAUCAUUUUAAUAAAUGUUAUAUGUGAAAUAAAUAAACUGCCGAUU